This 509-nucleotide ribosomal RNA is filed under the name uncultured Glomus. RNAcentral describes it as "SSU rRNA". It matches the Rfam family "Eukaryotic small subunit ribosomal RNA", at positions 569 to 1080 of the family's 1831-position model. Lineage: Eukaryota; Fungi; Glomeromycota; Glomeromycetes; Glomerales; Glomeraceae. The record is from RNAcentral.
AGCAGCCGCGGUAAUUCCAGCUCCAAUAGCGUAUAUUAAAGUUGUUGCAGUUAAAAGCUCGUAGUUGAAUUUCGGAAUCAGUACGCUGGUCGUGCCUUCGGUAUGUACUGGUGUCACUGAUUCCUCCCUUCUGAAGAACCAUCAUGCCAUUCACUUGGUGUGGUGGGGAAUCAGGACUGUUACUUUGAAAAAUUAGAGUGUUUAAAGCAGGCUCGCGCUUGAAUACAUUAGCAUGGAAUAAUGAAAUAGGACGUUAAUCCUAUUUUGUUGGUUUCUAGGAUCGACGUAAUGAUUAAUAGGGAUAGUUGGGGGCAUUAGUAUUCAAUUGUCAGAGGUGAAAUUCUUGGAUUUAUUGAAGACUAACUACUGCGAAAAGCAUUUGCCAAGGAUGUUUUCAUUAAUCAAGAACGAAGUUAGGGGAUCGAAGACGAUCAGAUACCGUCGUAGUCUUAACCAUAAAACUAUGCCGACUAGGGAUCGGAUGAUGUUAAUUUUUUUAAUGACUCAUU